Molecule: long non-coding RNA, 501 nt
Filed under: Androctonus crassicauda
Lineage: Eukaryota; Metazoa; Arthropoda; Arachnida; Scorpiones; Buthidae
Source: RNAcentral
CUUUCAUCUGACUAUCCAUAAUUUGAAAUUUUCCAUAAAAUUAAAAACUAAUGAUUUAUAUUUACAUGAAUAUCAUAUUGAAAAUAGGGUGCUGUAUGUCUUACUUUGGUGUUGGCGUGAAUUUGUCCUAGCUUGAAAAUUUGAAUUUUGGGUUUUAUUUUUGAUAUUUCUUUUUUGAUCUGCAAGUUUGCUUUUCUGUUUAAUGAGAUUGCUAUGGCUUCUGGACAACUUUUGAGAUCACUGACAACUUCGAAAAAGAGGUCGACCAUGUAAUACAAUAAAGUCUCAGAUGCCAGAUUUGCAUACUAUUGAGAAAUAUGUAUCUACACAGGAUGUUUUAAAUGCAGGAAAAAGGAAUGAAAAGGAAUUGAUAAAUGUUGAAUUAAAAGAUAUAUUAGGAGAGGAAGAAAUUUCUGCUAAUUUGGAAUUUAGUAAGAUGAUAAAUUUAAUUACUGAUUUCCAUAACUCAUUGAGUCAUGAGAUAUCUGAGGUUAAACCAGG